GCUAAACAUCUAGCCCCACCUGCUCUAUAUAGCAAACCCCAAACUUUCUCACCACACUAAAACAUUUCCCCAACUUAGUAAAGGCGAAAAAAAAAUUCCUCGGAGCAAUAAAAAGAGUACCGUAAGGGAAAGAUGAAAUAAAACUGAAAUAACUUUUAAGCACAAAAAAGCAGAGUUUUACCCUCGUACCUUUUGCAUCAUGGUUUAACUAGUUAAACUAGGCAAAAAGAAUUUUAGUCUAACCUCCCGAAUCUAGGCGAGCUACUUUAAGACAGCUUUAUGAGCCAACCCGUCUCUGUCGCAAAAGAGUGGGAAGAUCUUACAGUAGCGGUGAUAGACCUAACGAGCCUAGUGAUAGCUGGUUGCUUUAUAAAAGGAUUUUAGUCCAGCUUAAAGUAUUAUACUUAUAUUAAAAAUUUACUUUAAAGUAAUUCAAAUAAGGUACAGCCUAUUUGAAUCAGGAUACAACCUCUAACACUGGGUAAUCCAUUAGAAAUUUGACCAAGUAGGCCUAAAAGCAGCCACCUUAAACAAAAGCGUCAAAGCUUAUUCACACUAAAAAUUUAAUCCCAUUCUUAUCUCUAAACCCUUCUUCACCAAAAAGCAAUUCUAUACCCUUAUAGAAGAUUUUAUGUUAAAACUAGUAACAAGAAGUUAGCCCUUCUCUUAGAUGCACCUGUAAUUCAGUAAGGACCCUCCACUGUAAUUUAACGUUUAUUAAUUCUUCAGUAGCAACACCUCAAGAAAAUUCUACUUAUUUUUUCGUUAACCUAACACAAGAGCAUCUAAAGAAAGAUUAAAAGAAAAAGAAGGAACUCGGCAAAUAUUAGCCUCGCCUGUUUACCAAAAACAUCGCCUCUUGACCCACCUAUAAGAGGUCCAGCCUGCCCAGUGACAUUGUUCAACGGCCGCGGUAUCCUAACCGUGCGAAGGUAGCGUAAUCACUUGUCCUUUAAAUGAGGACUGGUAUGAAUGGCCACACGAAAGCUAUACUGUCUCCUUUUUCUAAUCAGUUAAACUAAUCUUCCCGUGAAGAAGCGGGAAUAAACCUAUAAGACGAGAAGACCCUAUGGAGCUUCAAACAACUGAGACACCUGAUUUUUAUCUUUUUCUUCAUUAAACCAUUCUUUUCUGUCUCUAGUUUUGGGUUGGGGUGACCACGGAGCAAAACCUAACCUCCAUGAUGAACGUAUCUUUAUGUUCUUAGCAAAAAGCCACAUCUUGACGCACCAACAAACUGACUCUAAUUGACCCAAUAAUUUGAUCAACGAACCAAGUUACCCUAGGGAUAACAGCGCAAUCCACUUCAAGAGCUCUUAUCGACAAGUGGGCUUACGACCUCGAUGUUGGAUCAGGGUACCCCAGUGGUGCAGCCGCUACUAACGGUUCGUUUGUUCAACGAUUAAAACCCUACGUGAUCUGAGUUCAGACCGGAGUAAUCCAGGUCAGUUUCUAUCUAUAAAGAGCUUUUUCUAGUACGAAAGGACCGGAAAAGCAUGGCCAAUGCACCAAGCAAGCCAUUAAUUUUUAAACUAUGCCUUAAACUCAAUAGUUAAACAUCUUCCAUUUAUUUUAAGACAAAAUAU
Molecule: ribosomal RNA, 1586 nt
Filed under: Dryadobates olfersioides
Lineage: Eukaryota; Metazoa; Chordata; Amphibia; Anura; Aromobatidae
Description: 16S ribosomal RNA
Rfam family: Bacterial large subunit ribosomal RNA
Source: RNAcentral